RNAcentral lists this ribosomal RNA (491 nucleotides) under uncultured bacterium. RNAcentral's name for it is "partial 16S ribosomal RNA". It matches the Rfam family "Bacterial small subunit ribosomal RNA", at positions 29 to 506 of the family's 1533-position model. The record is from RNAcentral.
AGUGAACGCUGGCGGUAGGCCUAACACAUGCAAGUCGAACGGCAGCACAGUAAGAGCUUGCUCUUACGGGUGGCGAGUGGCGGACGGGUGAGGAAUACAUCGGAAUCUACUUUUUCGUGGGGGAUAACGUAGGGAAACUUACGCUAAUACCGCAUACGACCUACGGGUGAAAGCAGGGGAUCUUCGGACCUUGCGCGAUUGAAUGAGCCGGUGUCGGAUUAGCUAGUUGGCGGGGUAAAGGCCCACCAAGGCGACGAUCCGUAGCUGGUCUGAGAGGAUGAUCAGCCACACUGGAACUGAGACACGGUCCAGACUCCUACGGGAGGCAGCAGUGGGGAAUAUUGGAAAAUGGGCGCAAGCCUGAUCCAGCCAUACCGCGUGGGUGAAGAAGGCCUUCGGGUUGUAAAGCCCUUUUGUUGGGAGAGAAAAGCAGCAGGUUAAUACCCCGCUGUUCUGACGGUACCCAAAGAAUAAGCACCGGCUAACUUCGU